Molecule: ribosomal RNA, 615 nt
Filed under: Pseudoalteromonas sp. UST050418-406
Lineage: Bacteria; Pseudomonadati; Pseudomonadota; Gammaproteobacteria; Alteromonadales; Pseudoalteromonadaceae
Description: bacterial SSU rRNA
Rfam family: Bacterial small subunit ribosomal RNA
Source: RNAcentral
GCCGCGUGUGUGAAGAAGGCCUUCGGGUUGUAAAGCACUUUCAGUCAGGAGGAAAGGGUGUGUUUUAAUAGAGCAUAUCUGUGACGUUACUGACAGAAGAAGCACCGGCUAACUCCGUGCCAGCAGCCGCGGUAAUACGGAGGGUGCGAGCGUUAAUCGGAAUUACUGGGCGUAAAGCGUACGCAGGCGGUUUGUUAAGCGAGAUGUGAAAGCCCCGGGCUCAACCUGGGAACUGCAUUUCGAACUGGCAAACUAGAGUGUGAUAGAGGGUGGUAGAAUUUCAGGUGUAGCGGUGAAAUGCGUAGAGAUCUGAAGGAAUACCGAUGGCGAAGGCAGCCACCUGGGUCAACACUGACGCUCAUGUACGAAAGCGUGGGGAGCAAACAGGAUUAGAUACCCUGGUAGUCCACGCCGUAAACGAUGUCUACUAGAAGCUCGGAGCCUCGGUUCUGUUUUUCAAAGCUAACGCAUUAAGUAGACCGCCUGGGGAGUACGGCCGCAAGGUUAAAACUCAAAUGAAUUGACGGGGGCCCGCACAAGCGGUGGAGCAUGUGGUUUAAUUCGAUGCAACGCGAAGAACCUUACCUACACUUGACAUACAGAGAACUUACCAGA